GCAAUAAUAGCUUAAAGUUAGAGCAUUGGUCUUGUAAGCCAAAGGUGAAUCUAUAUUCUUAUUGCU
RNAcentral lists this transfer RNA (66 nucleotides) under Californiconus californicus. RNAcentral describes it as "tRNA-Thr". It matches the Rfam family "tRNA". Rfam says of the family: Transfer RNA (tRNA) molecules are approximately 80 nucleotides in length. The record is from RNAcentral. Lineage: Eukaryota; Metazoa; Mollusca; Gastropoda; Neogastropoda; Conidae.